CAGAGCUCAGGAUGUAUUUCCAAAUAGGCAUUGUCUUUGGGGAGUAUUUGCACUAUUGAUCUGAUUAAUAGGCGCUUAAUGAUAUCCAUUUGGUUAUCGACGGGGCAGACACUGAAUGCGUGCUGUGUGCCAGCCAGGUGCGGGCUGCACCAUGGAAAGACAGCCACCAGGGCUCUGUCCUCCCCGGGGCUUCUGGCCUGGGGGUGGGGAGGAGGGUGUCCCAGAAGGUAUUUGCACUCAGGACGCACACAGCUGCCCGGUGGGGAGGGGUUGCUGCUGAAUGAAAGCUGGCAGAGAGACCCUGGAGUGAUCAGGGAAAAUGAAAAGCAGGCUUUGAAGAAAUGAGCAGGAUGUGGAGAGGUGGACAGAGAAGACCUUUCAAGUGAAGACUCACACCUUUGGGCCGCGAUAGGCCAGGCUCUGGGAGAUGAUGAGACCGAGCAACCCCUGUGUCAGCUGGGCACCCCCAGCAUCCUUGUAUCAAGCAGAAUGUCCCCAACUCUCCCAAAAUCCGGCCAAAUGAGAACCCAGCCUCUUUUCUGCAUACAAGAGGCAACACACUCAAAUACCCACAGGCACUUGAUACACAUAUAUACUUGACUGAAGAUUUCUUAAGGAAAGUGCAAGAGGAGGUUCACCUUGUUCACACCACAUCAAACAAGGUAAAAAUCCAUCCUAGAUGUUCCCUUUUUGGCCCUGCUCCCCACUGGACAAUCUCCAUACGGGACAGCCGGUAUCACUGCACCCCUGCUCCCCCCCACUCUCCACACCCCUUGGAAGUCAGCACGUUCUCCUUGGGGUUUCUCUAUCAGCCCUGACAUGUGGCUCCCUUGGAUACUGUCUGCAAGCAAAUGUAUUUGUAAUGUUCACCCCCCCCAAAAAAAAAGAAAAGAAAACUGAGCUGAACAUAAUGUGUCAUCACGUACACACACAUCUAACAUGGACCUACAUAUUUCUUCUCAACAAGAUUAACUUUCUUGCUGUACUGAGCGCUCCUGCCCAUUUUCUAAAUGAUACUCUGCUGAUAUCUUUAAUCAUUCUGUGUGUCCGUUGCCAUAAAAGACGGGUAGCACGUGGCCAGGUGCUAGAGGCUGGGAUGCUUCCAUCAUCGGCUUUGAGUCUGUGGUGCUGUGGUUUUCAGUGGGAACGGAGGCAGAGGCGCUGGGCCCACAGAAUGGAGAGUCCUGCUCCCAGAAACGGCCUGGGCCGGCAGCCACAGAGCUGGUGACUCCCCGGGGGAAGUGGCCAGUCACCUGGCCCCUCUUGUCACAUCCCUGGGAGUUCGGCCACCAGAGACAAGACUCCCAUUGUAGGAUGUGUGACAACCCCGGAUUUUUCUCUUCUCCUCACUUUCAAGAUGGCAAGAGGCCGGGAAUGAAAGCAGGGCCUUCGACAGAAAAAGACUGUGGAGGGGCAGGUAGAUGAGCUGCAGAUCUGCAGAUGGGGUGUUUCUUCCCUGCCCCACUCUGCCCAGCCCCUUUCUCCCUCCCUCACCCCUCUGUUCUUCUCAGCUUCUAGCUCUUUACUGGGCAGGAAGGCCUGUGGGGCUGUUGUUUAGUCCUACACAGGCCCUGACUACCCAGAAGCCCUGUGUGUAAGCAGCCCCCCCCCACCAGCAGGUCUCCCCUUUACUCUCAGAGGCAGGGACUCAGCCCAGAGCCCAAUGGGACCCUCAGGUUACGGAGAUAGAGUGUGGCCUUUGAAGCAGAGAGUGUGGCACAGGUGUUCUCUGUCCCAAAUGUACCCUGCUACGCCCCUGGAGCUUUGUGAAGCCUCUCAUGCCUCAGUUUCCCCACCUGUAUGGCAGGUGACUUAGAACCUCUGGGUUGAAUGCUAAUGACAAUGGACUCAAACGUGGUGAUGUGUGUGCUUUACAGACUUGAGAGGUUUCACAAGCCUGCUAUGAUAGCCCGGCAGAGAAGAAGGGACGUAUGGCAGGACCCCCACCCGAGAGAGGGGAGGGCUGGGCAGAGAGGGAGGUAGAGAGAGAGAGAGAGAGAAAGAGAUGGGAAGGGGCAGCAUCCUCAUUCUGCCCUGUGGAGAGUAGGGAGAGGAAGAAGGGGAGGGAACAGGAUGUCAGCCGCAUGUAUUCUGACUUCCAUCUUCAGGCCCUCAGACAAGCUGAUGGAAAAGCCAACAGCAGAGGGCUUUCCCCCACCUGGAAGCCCAGGGAGGGAUACCACACGGGAUCGUCCUGCAGGGAUUGGGGGAUGCAGAUGUGCUGCUCUUGCCCCGCGGGGCCUCCUCCACCUGCUGUGCUGGGGACCCUUACCUUCCCACAGGUGAGGGGACCUGAAAAAACUGAGUCUGGGCUCCUGGCUCCUGGGUGAGGGGGAUGAGCAGGCCUCAGGGAGCAGGGUUCAACAAACAAAGCUCCACACCAGGGCCGCAGAUCACAGCCGUCACCCAGGCCUCCUAAAGAUGCCUUCAAGUUCACCAGCCAGGGGAGCACACGAGCCCCUCGGAACAGAGG
This is a long non-coding RNA of Canis lupus familiaris (dog), 2473 nucleotides long. RefSeq lists it as uncharacterized. The transcript has 2 exons. Lineage: Eukaryota; Metazoa; Chordata; Mammalia; Carnivora; Canidae. The record is from RefSeq and is a predicted model, not a curated record.